UGAGAAACACUUAUUUGAUAAACUAUGAAAUGCUAUAGUAGCACAAUAAAUUAAAAGGGAAAUGCAGUAAUUGUUUUAUAGCUAGUAAAAUGUUCAAUAAGUAUUAUUUUUUACAACAUAAGGGGUAUUUCAGAGAGUAAGAAUAAAGUUCUUUUUUAAUUAAAAAGACACCUGUUCUAAAUUUUUAUUAAGAUCAUUCCCCUGCAUCAAGCUUGAUAAUCCUGCACUCAAUCUACACAAAGGUACAUACAUAAGGUAUAUAUUAUAUACAUGCAAAUAUAGGUAUAUAUUGUAUGUAUAUAUAUGUAUGUGUAUUUAAUAUAUUUCUAAGAAUAUAGUAUCAUGGUUAACAAAAUUAUUGAUACUAAGAUAUUAUGAAAGUAGGGGAUUAGAGGGAAAAAAUUGUUUUACUAAAUGUAGUUUUCAGUCAAAUGUCCUAGAAAGCGUUAUUUAAAAAACACAUUAAUUCACAUAAAAUAUCUGCUCUAUUAAGUAACCAUUCUCCUGAAUCACCUUCUUGAACAGUUCAGGAAUUUUGCAAUGGCAGUCUGUGCUGCAAAGUGUAAAUUCUCCCAAGAAAGUUGUGUUUUUUUUUUCCAAAAAGUUUUGAACAAGUUUGAAAUGAAAUGUCUUUGUGCUUACAUUUUCUUAUAUAACAGCCUGGCCUUUUCCCAUAUUAUUUCACUGCUUAGGGGCAUGUUUCUCUGGGUCUGGUCUUUAUCUGUGUUGAAAAGGUUUUCAAGAAGCAUCUGAAAGUCUCCUUUUUCUCCCCCACACCACAGGCUUCACCAGAAGCUGGCAGGGAGAAAAGCCGGAGAAGCAUUAGCUGCUGUUGGAUUGACCUGGCGGAACUAAAGAAAGCAAAUGUAAAAUAGAAAAGAUUUUAAAUUGGUGGUUAAACAAACAAACAAAAAACAAACCAAUAAUCCUGCAUUAUCUCAAAUCCAUGUUUAAUAAGGGUGUGUGUGUGUGUGUGUGUGUGUGUGUGUGUGUGUGUGUGUAUCCAUGCUCCUUUCAGUGGAUUACAAAGUCAUCAGGAAAUAGCUACCAAGGAGAGUGGUAACACAAAGAUAUUUCAAACCCAACACUUCCAAAAUGGAACUCAUUAUUUUUCCCUUAAAACUCCUCUUGUGUUUCGUAUUGUCAGGACUAUUAUCUUAGAUGCUCAAAAUAGAAAGCUCAAAGCUCUGCUUUGACUGCUCUAGUUCCCCCUGCUUCCUUAUCCACUCAGGCACUACUGAUCCAUAUCCAGGGCAUCUGUCAAUCCCACCCGCUUUGCACAACCCACAUCAGUUUCCAGCUACACUCUUGGGACAGCCACCUGACUGGCCUCGGAUUAUAACCGCUACCUCUUCACACCAUCAUCGCACUGCUAGAGCCAUCCUGCUAGAGCAUACAUUUGUUCCUAAAGCAAUCCUGCUGCAAUUUUUUAGUGGUCCUUGAAAUAGUCACAUGCAUUCCAGUAUUACCAGAUGCCAGUCAUUGUAAAAAAGCUUUACACCUAUUACCUUACUUUCUCUUCAUGACCAUCCUAUGAGAUAGGCACAACUAUUACUGGCACUUAGAGAGGAGAAAAUAAAUGCAUACAGAAUUUAUAUAGCUUGUUCAUGGUCACUGGAAUGGCAGAUGGCAGAACCAGUGUUCGUCUCAGAUUGUCAAAGGCCCUUGACUGCUCCAUGAUAAACCUUUCCUCCAUCUGACUCCCAAAUUACCCUCCAGUCUCUUUUGCAAGGAGCUCAUAGACUGUGAUGUUCUCACAGUCAGUGACUGCACAUCAGAGUUGAAAGCUCUUUAGCCCACUGGAUAGAAGGUAAGGUGAGGGCUCAAAGGCUCUCGAAGUCACCACCUCCCUCCAUAUAAGUGCACCUCUUAUGACCCACAGGGUAACAGAAAUAUCCAAAGCAAGGAAAAAUUAGCUCACUACAUGUUGCAGAGCUUCUUACAAUACUCUGUGCCUGUAGGAUACGGGAUCACAUUUCAAACCAUUGCUUUGCAGAUAUCAAUCGCACACUACUAAUCAGCUCUGCCUCAGCAUCUCUCUCCACAGUUCAUUCAUGAGAACCACUUGAUGAAGGCCAGGCAGAGAAGUAGUAAAGAGACACAAGUGUGGGGACAGAAUAACGUGCAGGGCAGUUGCUAUCAUGGACUUUUUUUUAUAAAGGACCAUCCAUCUGAAUUGUUAUGGAACUUAUAAGAAGAGAUAGUUAUAUUGAAAAAAAAAAGAGGAAUAGUUUAGAUAUUGCUAAAAUUGCCCUGUCAUAUUCCACAUACACUAUUUGAUAAAUAUUUUAUUGUUAUUCCAGGAAAAGCUUUUAAAGAAAUACAUAAGCCACAAUUAUGGGCAAGGGAUGUCUCCUUCUCAGAGAUAGUAGGCAGGUCAGCUCUUUGCUUCUAAGGAUGGUGUGGACAGACUCACAAUGGGAUGCUUGCUGAAAUCUACACACAAACAUGGAAAGAGCCAGAGUCCCUUCCUAUUUGUUUUUUUUUAAAUUCGAUAAAUUUUACUAUAUUUAUAGUUGUACAACCAUCAUCACAAUCUAAUUUUAAAACAUUUCCAUCCCAACUUCUUUGUUAACAGAAAACACACCCAAGUGUCUCAGCCUCUGUGUGAUUUGAAUAAAUCAGAGGCACUUGGCUUAUGUGAACCCACUGUUGCAUUUCUGUCUAACAAAUUAUCCAAACCCCAACACAGAAAGCCCUUCAUCCCAGCACAGAAAGCCCUGCUGGAAGAAGGCCUGGCUCCUCCUAAGUUGGUCCAAUCGUUAGAACUGGUGCUCAGCUCUGAACUUACUGGCUUUUGUUAUCAAGGCCUAAAUCUAUUUCUGGUUGGAAAAAUUUAGGCAGGUAUUCAACAUCAUUAUCUUGUUUAAAUCACAUUGGAAAAACUGCAGUACUCUAAGUUAACUGGGCGUUUUGGUAUAACGUUAAAUAUAUUUCGAGGGUUUUUUUGGGGGGGCCACUUAUGAGAACCAUCUUAAAUGUCUUCCUUACAGGGAAUAGAGUUUAUUGAAGAGGGGUGUGUGUGUGUGUGUGUUUGUGUGUGAGAGAGAGAGAGAGAGAUAGAUGUUUACAUUGCCAUGCUAUAAGACAGGCUGCUUAUAUCAUCAAGAAAUUACAUGAAAAGUGAUCAUUGACAGCCAAGUAACCAUUAUAAGAAAGGUGUUAUUUCUACAAUAUUCAAAAGAUGUCAUUUAAAAGCCUAUUAUUCCACCCAUAGAUAUAAUAUCUAUAUUUGGGAUUCCACCUAAAAUUUGAAAUGAUCUAGAAAUUGCCACUUUAAAAGCCACUUGACACAGUGCAUAAAUAUUCUUAAAUGUGUCAUGAGAAGGGGUGUUUUAUUAAUGGCGUUUAAAAGCAUAAACAAAUAUAAGUAAAAUUGUGACAACACUUAUCCCCCAAGCUAUAGUUAGCCAAAAAGUAAAUCAUAAACCUUAGCAUUUUUUUUAAAACCUACAGAAAGGCUGCUGCGCAGUACUUUCUUUUUUUCUUAAAUGGCCUUUAAAUAAAUAUAUGAGUCAGUUAAGAAAGGCAUUUACUUGAAUUAAAGUGAUAAUUCUGCCAGGACGUCAGUAUAAUUAAUUGUGGGUGGCAGAAGUUUUAAAUGAGGCUAAGUUAGGGAUUCCAGUUUAUUUAUUUAUUUUUUACUCACUCUACUGCUGUAAUUAGAGAAGCUUUUGGUUGAUCUUGAAAUUGUGCCUUGUCAUGGAAUAUCAUACCUGCGUGCUUUUAGGACAAGCCCUAUGGCAUAUUUUUUUAAUGAUUGAGAUGGGGGGUUAAUGCAUAUGCAUCAGUCUAGCCUCUUCCUACUACUACUAUGCACAUGCACACACACACACACACACACACACACACACACACACACACACAUACCCUAAUACGUGUUUCUUUCACAGCCUCAACAUUCAUCCCUAAUAAGGUACUGUUCCAAUUUAUUUCAAUGCCUUCAAUGUCAAAUGCAAAAUUAUUUUAGUCACAGACUUUUACUCCUGAUAAGUGAUUUCACAAAAGAACUCAAAAUACUCUCCCUUCAACAUCUCUGCUUGCCUGCACUAACCUGUGUCGAGGAUGGAAACAGCUACAUUUCAUAAACAAAUAUGAUUUACUAAAAAUGGGUGGUCUUAUCAUACAGAAUGUAUUUUAAAGGAUGUAUCCUCUUAGCAGAGCUGACCGGUCUCAGGCUCUGUGGGGCACCACUGUAAAACUGGUAUCCGCUGAAUGACUGAACCAAGAAUGCCUUUCAGGAGGCAAAGAAUCCAUAACAGGUUUGGGAGAUUCUGUGUUUAGCAUCAGUACCGCAAUGAGGAGUAAACCCAUCGUGUGUAUCUUCUAAAAGUUCAACACAGCAAAGAAAAAAAGAAAAAGUUCUGCGUGAGAAGUAACUGCAUGCUAAUCAUUUGAUUGACAUAAGAAUACUUCCGUAGCCACUGAUGUCUAGCUGUCAAGUAAAGAUAUUGACAACAAAUACAUUUUUAAAAGGUACAUGAUUGGCCACUCAUGUCUGUGUUCCGAAAUUAAAAUACUGGAGCAUACUGGCACAGCCCCUACAUCGCAUUCUUACAGGAAGACUAAGUGUCAGCCACAAGAAUUCCUCUGCUCUUAACAGUCUGCACAACGUAAUGUUGAAAAAGCAUUUCUGUUCAGCUCAUUAACACAUCUACCUUUUGCCCCCUGCCCUUAGUCAUAGUUUUAUCAUUAACUCUAUGCCUUUUUCACCCACUCCUCUGAGCACAAAAGGAUCAAACAGCACGCAUUCGGCAGCCGAAAUAGCAGUGCAGGUUUCUAAAAGGUGAAUGUGGAAUUACAACCUGCAUCCCCAAUUCCUGAACUUCAAAGCAAACCCUAAUUGCCUUGUCGACAAUGCAGCAGGGUUAACGCAUCUCACAUCUCCCGGUCUUGGAACAUUUAGGUACAGAAUAAGACCAACAAACAGGCAAACCUUGUGCAGCAAAAGAUGCAGACUGCCACCGAGCCCAGAAGCUAUGAAGGAUUACAUGCUCGCUUUACCUACCGGCAUUGUCCAUGUCUCAGUAGCGGUGAGGCGAGUUCUGGAGCCUGGCAGCUGGGAAGCCCCGGCUCUUCUCCUGGCUAACGAAGCACCCUGCCCUUCUGCUGAUUAUCAGUCCUUGCUGGCACACAGAGCAUACUUCAUGCACUGUCUGCAGGAGACACCGCCAGGAAAUUUAUAUCUCCAAGGAUGACAAACAGCCAUUAGCUCCAUUACAGGCUGAUUAAGAGAGACUGAGCCUAUCAAGUGGAUACUUGAAUCCACUGGGGUUUUCACCUCUGUUCCAAGCAAAGGAGGAAAAAAAAAAUCACUGCAAUGUUGAGAGUAUUGCACAUUUCUGAAAAGCAGUGAACAUGCUAUGCAGAACACAAUGCUUUUCCAAAAGAUGCCAGAGCAAGCGUGAGCAGGAAAAGGCACAGAUAAUGAAAAGGUAAAGAGAAAUUUUAAAAAUGAGAUAAAUUAUUAUCCUUUUUUUGGGGGGGGUACUAAUCUAAAUGUGGUCCAGCCUUUAUCACCAACAUCAGUGGAUGACUGGGCAACUUUUCAAUUUGAAAUUUUAAAGUUUAUUUUUGGUUAUUGUUGUUGUGUUAGGGGUGGGCAAGGAAUAGCAGAUCAAACAUGUUAAGAUAAAGGCAACCUUUAAUAUUUCUGCUGUAAAUAAAUGCUGACAACUGAGCAUUUUCAUUUCACUUUGGUUAUGUUUUCAUCCUGACUAGUCUUUCUAUUUCUGAUCAGAAUUUCUGCCCACCUCUGCUAACAGAAAUUCAAAGGGAUUGCACUAAAUGUCACUAAUAACACAAGAAUUAAUUGUCAAAAGACUUCAGGGGACCCUACAGCAUGUUACCAUCUGUAGCCAUCUAAAGUAACAGAAAUCUAAGGAUCAAGGAAAAUGCAUUUGCUAGCACAAGAAUGCCCAUUCCACUCCUUUUCUUUAAUUUAGCUCUAGAAAGAUGACCCUCAAAGACACUUCUGGGGUCAGGGUGCUGAAACAGUCCUGGGCCAUGCCCCGAGGCUGUUGUGACAUUAGAAUCAGGGGAAAGUGCAAAUCUGUUUACUGCAUUUACUCUGACGUAGGAAAAAAAAAAAGUAUAAUGGCCUCAUUUGGCCUAUGACACAAUGAUUCCAUAGUACAGUGAGGCUCUACAGGUUUUACACUCUGACAAGUUCUUAAACAGUUUUGGUGUUAUUAGACACCUAGUGUUGUUAAAUUUUAUAAAGCAAUUCACUUAUUUAGUAUUUAUUUAUGCCUAGUGACAGACAACUUGAAAAUUAUUUACAAUCUAUUUCAACAGCUUCUAAGUGGCUUCCCCCCCCCUUCACCACCACUCCCCUUCAGCCAUGCCCACAGCAUAAGGAAGUUCUCAGGCCAGGGAUCGAAUCCUAGCCACAGCUACAACUGCAACGCUGGAUCCUCAACCCACUGCACCAGGCCAGGAAUUGAACCCUCGAUUCUGCAGCAACCAGAGCCACUGCAGGAGGAUCCCUUUUUUCUCUUUUGUCUUUUUAGGGCCGCACCUGUGGCAUAUGGAGGUUCCCAGGCUAGGGGUCAAAUUGGAGCUACAGCUGCCAGCCUACACCACAGCCACAGCAAUGCAGGAUCCAAGCUGUGUCUGCAAACUACACCAC
This 6631-nucleotide long non-coding RNA is filed under the name Sus scrofa (pig). RNAcentral's name for it is "lncRNA (ENSSSCG00015031592.1)". The record is from RNAcentral. Lineage: Eukaryota; Metazoa; Chordata; Mammalia; Artiodactyla; Suidae.